Molecule: ribosomal RNA, 495 nt
Filed under: uncultured bacterium
Lineage: Bacteria
Description: partial 16S ribosomal RNA
Rfam family: Bacterial small subunit ribosomal RNA
Source: RNAcentral
GACGAACGCUGGCGGCGUGCCUAAUACAUGCAAGUAGAACGCUGAAGGAGGAGCUUGCUUCUCUGGAUGAGUUGCGAACGGGUGGGUAACGCGUAGGUAACCUGCCUGGUAGCGGGGGAUAACUAUUGGAAACGAUAGCUAAUACCGCAUAAGAGUAGAUGUCGCAUGACAUUUGCUUAAAAGGUGCAAUUGCAUCACUACCAGAUGGACCUGCGUUGUAUUAGCUAGUUGGUGAGGUAACGGCUCACCAAGGCAACGAUACAUAGCCGACCUGAGAGGGUGAUCGGCCACACUGGGACUGAGACACGGCCCAGACUCCUACGGGAGGCAGCAGUAGGGAAUCUUCGGCAAUGGACGGAAGUCUGACCGAGCAACGCCGCGUGAGUGAAGAAGGUUUUCGGAUCGUAAAGCUCUGUUGUAAGAGAAGAACGAGUGUGAGAGUGGAAAGUUCACACUGUGACGGUAUCUUACCAGAAAGGGACGGCUAACUACGUG